CCAACAUUAUGAUCUGCAGCCUUCAGCUGGGUAAAGUGCUCAUUGAUUUUGAGACUACUGCACUGCAGAGUGUACCCUGCACAAGGGCACUGGGCUUCUCAGGAAUGGAGUUAAUACUGACAGAACCACAUUGCUGUGGACAUUGGCUUUUUCUAACCUGCACUUCAGCAUGGGAUGGAGAAGGGACAGGUCAUUUUGGCCAAACUCUAGUGUUAAGAGAUUAAUUUCCCAACACAGGCAAGAGAAAUUUCUUGGUGUUCUUUGUUGGUGAUGUUCUUCAUGUUGUUUCACCCAAAUACAGAUAUUUUAAAAGUCUCUAACAAA
Long non-coding RNA from Corapipo altera (White-ruffed manakin), 324 nucleotides. RefSeq lists it as uncharacterized. NCBI's taxonomy places the organism in Eukaryota, Metazoa, Chordata, Aves, Passeriformes, Pipridae. The record is from RefSeq and is a predicted model, not a curated record. The transcript has 2 exons.